This 421-nucleotide ribosomal RNA is filed under the name uncultured Comamonas sp. Its description in RNAcentral is "bacterial SSU rRNA". It matches the Rfam family "Bacterial small subunit ribosomal RNA", at positions 957 to 1382 of the family's 1533-position model. The record is from RNAcentral. Lineage: Bacteria; Pseudomonadati; Pseudomonadota; Betaproteobacteria; Burkholderiales; Comamonadaceae.
CAACGCGAAGAACCUUACCAGGUCUUGACAUCCGAUGCUAUUUCUAGAGAUAGAGGAGUGCUCGAAAGAGAGCCGUAACACAGGUGCUGCAUGGCUGUCGUCAGCUCGUGUCGUGAGAUGUUGGGUUAAGUCCCGCAACGAGCGCAACCCUUGUCAUUAGUUGCUACGAAAGGGCACUCUAAUGAGACUGCCGGUGACAAACCGGAGGAAGGUGGGGAUGACGUCAAGUCCUCAUGGCCCUUAUAGGUGGGGCUACACACGUCAUACAAUGGCUGGUACAAAGGGUUGCCAACCCGCGAGGGGGAGCCAAUCCCAUAAAGCCAGUCGUAGUCCGGAUCGCAGUCUGCAACUCGACUGCGUGAAGUCGGAAUCGCUAGUAAUCGUGGAUCAGCAUGUCACGGUGAAUACGUUCCCGGGUCUU